This 814-nucleotide non-coding RNA is filed under the name Planicapritermes planiceps. Lineage: Eukaryota; Metazoa; Arthropoda; Insecta; Blattodea; Termitidae. The record is from RNAcentral.
UAAAGUUUUAUUCUUGCUUUUUCGUUCAGUUUUAUGUUUGUUCUAUAUGUAAGUUUGUGCGUAGGUAUUAUUUUGCUCUAGAUGGGUUGUAAGGGUUUAUAUUGUCUGUCUCAUUAGUUAUUAUUGAUUUAUCAAGUGUUCUUGUAUUCAGCAAUACAUAUUUGGUUUCGGUUAAAUUUUGUGCCAGCAGCCGCGGUUAUACCUUGGAAGCGUUUGAAUGUGUUUGGCAUUAGGUAGUUAUAUUAUUUAUAUUUAAUUGAUUUUGUUUUGAUAAUUGUUAGGUGAAAUUUUUAUUAUUUUGUGUUUAUUUUUUAUUUAUUUGGAAGCUAUGAAAUUCUUUCUGUAGACUAGGAUUAGAUACCCUAUUAUUUUUGAAUGUUAAUUGUUUUGGUGCUUGAGUAGUAUUAGUUAUGUUCUUGAAACUUAAAGAAUUUGGCGGUAUCUCAUUCCGUCCAGAGGAAUCUGUCUCGUUAUCGAUAGUCCGCGUUGGACCUUUCUUAGUUGCUUUGGUUUGUAUACCGCCGUUUGGUUGAUUAUCUUUUUAGAGUUUAUUAAUUUUCUGGUUUCUUUAUUUUGAUUUAUUUCAGGUCAAGGUGCAGCUUGUUUCUAAGUGAAUGAUGGAUUACAUUGUUAUUUGUUUUUGGAUUGUUGAUUUUAAUAUUGAUAUGAAAUUGGAUUUGGUUGUAAUGAUUUGUAGAUUGUCAUUGUGAUAAGUGGUUCUGAGAUAUGUACACAUCGCCCGUCGCUCUCGUUUUGUUGUUAAUGAGAUAAGUCGUAACAAAGUGGUUGUACCGGAAGGUGCGGCUGGAUUGAU